Molecule: transfer RNA, 73 nt
Filed under: Pseudomonadota bacterium
Lineage: Bacteria; Pseudomonadati; Pseudomonadota
Also listed under: 2 other names
Description: tRNA-Ala
Rfam family: tRNA
About the family: Transfer RNA (tRNA) molecules are approximately 80 nucleotides in length. Their secondary structure includes four short double-helical elements and three loops (D, anti-codon, and T loops). Further hydrogen bonds mediate the characteristic L-shaped molecular structure. tRNAs have two regions of fundamental functional importance: the anti-codon, which is responsible for specific mRNA codon recognition, and the 3' end, to which the tRNAs corresponding amino acid is attached (by aminoacyl-tRNA synthetases). tRNAs cope with the degeneracy of the genetic code in two manners: having more than one tRNA (with a specific anti-codon) for a particular amino acid; and 'wobble' base-pairing, i.e. permitting non-standard base-pairing at the 3rd anti-codon position.
Source: RNAcentral
GGGGCGGUAGCUCAGCUGGGAGAGCACCUGGUUUGCAACCAGGGGGUCGGGGGUUCGAGUCCCCUCCGCUCCA